This is a non-coding RNA of Fusarium venenatum, 206 nucleotides long. Lineage: Eukaryota; Fungi; Ascomycota; Sordariomycetes; Hypocreales; Nectriaceae. The record is from RefSeq and is a predicted model, not a curated record.
ACCAAAGCCGCCAGAGGAGAACCGUUGUACUUGCGUGCUCUCUCUGAAGAAAAGCCCACAGAGGCGCCGGCAAACCUUGCAGAUGAUUUCCCAGGCUUGGCCGACGACUUUCGGCUACCAGAAGAACUUGGCUCAGUUAAGGAUCGGAUGUUCAGUUCCGUGCUGAGAAUAUCUGGCAGAGCAAACAUGUGGCUGCACUACGAUGU